Molecule: small RNA, 110 nt
Filed under: Anaerocolumna aminovalerica
Lineage: Bacteria; Bacillati; Bacillota; Clostridia; Lachnospirales; Lachnospiraceae
Description: ydaO/yuaA leader
Rfam family: c-di-AMP riboswitch aptamer (ydaO/yuaA leader)
About the family: This family represents a conserved RNA structure found upstream of the ydaO and yuaA genes in Bacillus subtilis and related genes in other bacteria. The ydaO/yuaA element is thought to act as a genetic "off" switch for the ydaO and yuaA genes in its native state.
Source: RNAcentral
UAAUAUCAUCUACGGUAGUGGGGGACCCAAUGGUAGGGGUGAAUCUUUAAUUUAAGAAGGGCGGCUUGGAAGCCCUAACCCGUCAGCUAACCUCAUAGGAGUCACCAAGC